RNAcentral lists this ribosomal RNA (377 nucleotides) under uncultured bacterium. RNAcentral describes it as "bacterial SSU rRNA". It matches the Rfam family "Bacterial small subunit ribosomal RNA", at positions 523 to 898 of the family's 1533-position model. The record is from RNAcentral.
AGACGUAGGGGGCGAGCGUUGUCCGGAAUUACUGGGCGUAAAGAGCACGUAGGCGGGAUUUUAAGUCAGGUGUGAAAGACCGUGGCUCAACCACGGGGUUGCACUUGAAACUGGGAUUCUUGAGGGCAGGAGAGGAAAGUGGAAUUCCUGGUGUAGCGGUGAAAUGCGUAGAAAUCAGGAGGAACACCGGUGGCGAAGGCGACUUUCUGGACUGACCCUGACGCUGAGGUGCGAAAGCGUGGGUAGCAAACAGGAUUAGAUACCCUGGUAGUCCACGCUGUAAACGAUGGAUACUAGGUGUGGGAGGUAUCGACCCCUUCCGUGCCGCAGCUAACGCAAUAAGUAUCCCGCCUGGGGAGUACGGUCGCAAGGCUGAA